UACGUAGGGGGCAAGCGUUGUCCGGAUUUAUUGGGCGUAAAGAGCGCGUAGGCGGCCAGACAGGUCUGCUGUGAAAACUCGAGGCUCAACCUCGAGAUGUCGGCGGAAACCGUCUGGCUAGAGUCCGGAAGAGGAGAGUGGAAUUCCUGGUGUAGCGGUGAAAUGCGCAGAUAUCAGGAAGAACACCUAUGGCGAAGGCAGCUCUCUGGGACGGUGCUGACGCUGAGGCGCGAAAGCGUGGGGAGCGAACAGG
Molecule: ribosomal RNA, 253 nt
Filed under: uncultured bacterium
Lineage: Bacteria
Description: partial 16S ribosomal RNA
Rfam family: Bacterial small subunit ribosomal RNA
Source: RNAcentral